This 551-nucleotide small RNA is filed under the name Pongo abelii (Sumatran orangutan). RNAcentral's name for it is "processed transcript". The record is from RNAcentral. Lineage: Eukaryota; Metazoa; Chordata; Mammalia; Primates; Hominidae.
AUUUUACUCAUGGGGAAACUGAAGGCCAGGGAUGGGAAUUGCCCAGGUUCACAAAGGAAUUUAACAAUGGAGCUGGCUUCUGAUUCCCAGGGCAGUGUUCUUUCUAUUCUACCUGCUGAUGAGUGGAGUAAGAGGUCAGAAGACCUGGGGAAAGAUAAGCAACUAAGCUAUCCUAAAAAUAGUUCAGCAAUUUAAAACCCUACCUUCUCAGAGAGUCCAGACACGAGGCCUUCAAUCCAGAGCCAAGGAGUAGCCUGUUUUUUACAGAAGCAUGUAAGAUGGAUUGCCACAAAGAUGAGAAAGGCACCAUCUAUGACUAUGAGGCCAUCGCACUUAAUAAGAACGAAUACGUUUCCUUCAAGCAGUAUGUGGGCAAGCACAUCCUCUUCGUCAACGUGGCCACCUACUGUGGUCUGACAGCGCAAUAUCCUGGUAUGUCCGUCCAGGGGGAGGAUUUGUACCUAAUUUCCAGCUUUUUGAGAAAGGGGAUGUGAAUGGUGAAAAAGAACAGAAAGUCUUCGGCUUCUUGAAGCACUCCUGUCCUCAUCCCU